Molecule: ribosomal RNA, 877 nt
Filed under: uncultured archaeon
Lineage: Archaea
Description: bacterial SSU rRNA
Rfam family: Archaeal small subunit ribosomal RNA
Source: RNAcentral
CGAAUUCGCCCUUUUCCGGUUGAUCCUGCCGGACCUGACUGCUAUCGGAUUGAUACUAAGCCAUGCGAGUCAUUGUAGCAAUACAAGGCAGACGGCUCAGUAACGCGUAGUCAAUCUACCCUAUGGACGGGGAUAACCUCGGGAAACUGAGAAUAAUACCCGACAGAACAUUAUGCCUGGAAUGGUUUAUGUUUUAAAUGAUUUAUCGCCGUAGGAUGGGACUGCGGCCUAUCAGUUUGUUGGUGAGGUAAUGGCCCACCAAGACUAUUACAGGUACGGGCUCUGAGAGGAGUGGCCCGGAGAUGGGUACUGAGACACGGACCCAGGCCCUAUGGCGCGCAGCAGGCGAGAAAACUUUGCAAUGUGCGAAAGCACGACAAGGUUAAUCCGAGUGGUUUCUGCUAAAGAAACCUUUUGUUAGUCCUAGAAACAUUGAUGAAUAAGGGGUGGGCAAGUUCUGGUGUCAGCCGCCGCGGUAAAACCAGCACCUGAAGUGGUCAUGAUGAUUAUUGGGUCUAAAGCAUCCGUAGCUUGCUUUGUAAGUUCUCGGUUAAGACCAUGCGCUUAGCGUAUGGGCUGCCGGUAAUACUGCAAAGCUAGGGAGUGGGAGAGGUAGACGGUACUCGGUAGGAAGGGGUAAAAUCCUUUGAUCUAUUGAUGACCACCUGUGGCGAAGGCGGUCUACCAGAACACGUCCGACGGUGAGGGAUGAAAGCUGGGGGAGCAAACCGGAUUAGAUACCCGGGUAGUCCCAGCUGUAAACUAUGCAAACUCAGUGAUGCAUUGGCUUGUGGCCAAUGCAGUGCUGCAGGGAAGCCGUUAAGUUUGCCGCCUGGGAAGUACGUACGCAAGUAUGAAACUUAAAGGAAUUGGCGGG